GUCUAUAUCCAUACCACCCUGAAUAUGCUUGUUCUCAUCUGAUCUGGGAAGCUAAGUAAGGUUGGGGCUGAUUGGCACUUGGAUGAGAGUCUGCCUGGGAAUAUCAGGUGCUAUGGCCU
Cercocebus atys (sooty mangabey) is the source of this 119-nucleotide ribosomal RNA. The record is from Ensembl. Lineage: Eukaryota; Metazoa; Chordata; Mammalia; Primates; Cercopithecidae.